RNAcentral lists this ribosomal RNA (497 nucleotides) under uncultured bacterium. RNAcentral describes it as "partial 16S ribosomal RNA". It matches the Rfam family "Bacterial small subunit ribosomal RNA", at positions 28 to 507 of the family's 1533-position model. The record is from RNAcentral.
GAUGAACGCUGGCGGCGUGCCUAAUACAUGCAAGUCGAGCGAACUGACGAGAAGCUUGCUUCUCUGAUGUUAGCGGCGGACGGGUGAGUAACACGUGGAUAACCUACCUAUAAGACUGGGAUAACUUCGGGAAACCGGAGCUAAUACCGGAUAAUAUUUUGAACCGCAUGGUUCAAAAGUGAAAGACGGUCUUGCUGUCACUUAUAGAUGGAUCCGCGCUGCAUUAGCUAGUUGGUAAGGUAACGGCUUACCAAGGCAACGAUGCAUAGCCGACCUGAGAGGGUGAUCGGCCACACUGGAACUGAGACACGGUCCAGACUCCUACGGGAGGCAGCAGUAGGGAAUCUUCCGCAAUGGGCGAAAGCCUGACGGAGCAACGCCGCGUGAGUGAUGAAGGUCUUCGGAUCGUAAAACUCUGUUAUUAGGGAAGAACAUAUGUGUAAGUAACUGUGCACAUCUUGACGGUACCUAAUCAGAAAGCCACGGCUAACUACGUG